UGGUUAAUUCGAUGAUACGCGAGGACCUUACCUAGGCUAGAAUGUGAGUGACAGAUGUGAAAGCCGUUUUUCCUACGGGACACGAAACAAGGUGCUGCAUGGUUGUCGUCAGCUCGUGCCGUGAGGUGUUGGGUAAGUCCCGCAACGAGCGCAACCCCUGUUUGUUAGUUACCAUCACGUAAAGGUGGGGACUCCAACGAGACUGCCGGCGUAAGCCGCGAGGAAGGUGGGGAUGACGUCAAAUCAUCAUGGCCUUUAUGCCUAGGGCGACACACGUGCUACAAUGGCCGGUACAGAGGGCAGCGAGACUGUGAAGUUAAGCAAAUCUCAAAAAGCCGGUCUCAGUUCGGAUUGGAGUCUGCAACUCGACUCCAUGAAGGUGGAAUCGCUAGUAAUCGCGCAUCAGCCAUGGCGCGGUGAAUACGUUCCCGGACCUUGUACACACCGCCCGUCAAGCCAUGGAAGCUGGGGGUGCCUAAAGAUGGUGACUUUACGGGGAGCUAUCUAAGGUAAAACUAGUGACUGGGGCUAAGUCGUAACAAGGUAACCGUAA
Molecule: ribosomal RNA, 553 nt
Filed under: uncultured bacterium
Lineage: Bacteria
Description: bacterial SSU rRNA
Rfam family: Bacterial small subunit ribosomal RNA
Source: RNAcentral